Molecule: ribosomal RNA, 496 nt
Filed under: uncultured bacterium
Lineage: Bacteria
Description: partial 16S ribosomal RNA
Rfam family: Bacterial small subunit ribosomal RNA
Source: RNAcentral
AUGAACGCUGGCGGCGUGCCUAAUACAUGCAAGUCGAGCGAACAGACGAGGAGCUUGCUCCUCUGACGUUAGCGGCGGACGGGUGAGUAACACGUGGAUAACCUACCUAUAAGACUGGGAUAACUUCGGGAAACCGGAGCUAAUACCGGAUAAUAUAUUGAACCGCAUGGUUCAAUAGUGAAAGACGGUUUUGCUGUCACUUAUAGAUGGAUCCGCGCCGCAUUAGCUAGUUGGUAAGGUAACGGCUUACCAAGGCGACGAUGCGUAGCCGACCUGAGAGGGUGAUCGGCCACACUGGAACUGUGACACGGUCCAGACUCCUACGGGAGGCAGCAGUAGGGAAUCUUCCGCAAUGGGCGAAAGCCUGACGGAGCAACGCCGCGUGAGUGAUGAAGGUCUUCGGAUCGUAAAACUCUGUUAUUAGGGAAGAACAAAUGUGUAAGUAACUAUGCACGUCUUGACGGUACCUAAUCAGAAAGCCACGGCUAACUACGUG